This 72-nucleotide antisense RNA is filed under the name Streptomyces alboflavus. Its description in RNAcentral is "ASpks TB sRNA". It matches the Rfam family "ASpks TB sRNA". The record is from Rfam by way of RNAcentral. Lineage: Bacteria; Bacillati; Actinomycetota; Actinomycetes; Kitasatosporales; Streptomycetaceae.
CUUCACGGAGCCGAGCCACAGGGGCUCGGCGCCGCGGCCCUGGCCGUAGGUGGCGAGGAGUGCCUGGGCCUC